UAAUUAUGACUUCUCCGAGCCUUUUUGCCUAAAGGAAACCAUGGUAAAGGGCCUGGGCCACCUUGGAAACGGGAUGGCCUUCCGUAUUUUGAAAAGGGGUUGUUAUCAUGCGGGC
This 115-nucleotide non-coding RNA is filed under the name unclassified sequences. RNAcentral describes it as "MoCo sequence". It matches the Rfam family "Molybdenum/Tungsten riboswitch aptamer (Moco RNA motif)". The record is from RNAcentral.